UGGAACUACAUUUCGAUUGGUCAAUUAAAUGAAACAUUGAAAUGCGGGGGAAACGCGGAUUUCAGUCAGCUAAAGCGAUCCAGCGUUACAUCAAGGUUUUUUGACCCACAGAAGACGAUGGAAAGCUGCCUCACCAAGACACCAGACGCUGGAUCAUCUAUAUUUGCAAUCGCAGACGCAAGACAUGUGUUCAGGUUUUGAAUAUAAUGUCUCCAGUAUGGAUAUGUUUGACGAUUGUUACCAUGGAAACGAACUCACAGACCAACAUGUGUGUCAAAACAGAUUUUGAACAUGAUGUCUCCAGCAAGGAUAUGUUUGAUGACGGUUACCAUGGAAACGAACUCACGGACCUAUGUCAAAAAUGUCUUUUUCUGAUAAAAUAAAUAUAAUGCUAUCCAUUUCA
Molecule: long non-coding RNA, 403 nt
Organism: Ostrea edulis (European flat oyster)
Lineage: Eukaryota; Metazoa; Mollusca; Bivalvia; Ostreida; Ostreidae
Exons: 3
Source: RefSeq, a predicted model, not a curated record